Molecule: long non-coding RNA, 938 nt
Filed under: Malus domestica (apple)
Lineage: Eukaryota; Viridiplantae; Streptophyta; Magnoliopsida; Rosales; Rosaceae
Description: long non-coding RNA (MDOM_LNC001000)
Source: RNAcentral
UGACUCGAAAUAAUGAAACCUUCAUAAGCUAAUUGGUAGCUUAAGAUGACUACAAUCAAAUAGAAUGGUUGACUUUAAAGGAACCAUUUUUGACGUAGUCUUAGUUUCAAUUAAUUCGAAGAUUGCUAGCUACAACUAAAUGGUGAUUCAAUGUUUUGACAUAAUAUGGGUUUCCGAAACCAUUAUUAAGAUAGUCUUGAUAAUAUAUAUAUAAAACUAUAAUCACAAGACAUGUAAGUUGUAGAGAUCCAUCCAUCAUGGAUCUUAGCAAGUUAGUGGGAGCUAUUUGCAUUUUAUGGGAAAAAGGAUCAAAUCGUUUGAUUUCUCAUAAAGAUGUAAAUGAAUCUUUUGUUUACUAGUUUUACAAAAGAUUAGUGGGAGUUAAUCAUGUUCCUAAAAUUUAAAUAUAUAUGAUAUAUUAAUUUUGGAAAUGAAAAGAAUACUUCUUCGUUAAAGUUAUGACUUUAAUACAUUAUAUGAAGAUAGAAUGUAUAUGGGAGAUAUAGUCUAUAUACAUGGGAUGGAAAUCUAUAAUGAUAUAUUUCAUGAUAUAAUUGGAUUAUAUCAAUCUCUAAUAAUAGACAAUGGAUGCUAGGAAGUUUCUCAUAUGAUGAUAAACUUCAAUAAGAAGGACGAUUCUAGUGAGACUAGCAAGUUGCUCUUCUCAAAGGGAAUGUACCCUUUGACUCCCAAAGAAAUAAUACGUAAAUAGAAUCCUUUAUGCAUACGCAGAAAGGUGAUUUACGUAUUUCAUAUUGCAUGAAAAACAUUGAUAUGAGUUGUACCUAGAAUGGUACAAGACGAUAUCAAUGCAAGCUCAGGAUCAGAACCAUGGCAACUGUCAAGUGAGUCCUUAAGUAUUUGAGAAAUACUAAAGGAUAGAUUCCUCAAAGAAUGAGGAAGAAUUAGAGUAACGUAAUGGAAGCGUAAAUGUAUUA